Molecule: ribosomal RNA, 675 nt
Filed under: uncultured Actinobacillus sp.
Lineage: Bacteria; Pseudomonadati; Pseudomonadota; Gammaproteobacteria; Pasteurellales; Pasteurellaceae
Description: bacterial SSU rRNA
Rfam family: Bacterial small subunit ribosomal RNA
Source: RNAcentral
CGGACGGGUGAGUAAUGCUUGGGAAUCUGGCUUAUGGAGGGGGAUAACUACGGGAAACUGUAGCUAAUACCGCGUAAUAUCUUCGGAUUAAAGGGUGGGACUUUCGGGCCACCUGCCAUAAGAUGAGCCCAAGUGGGAUUAGGUAGUUGGUGGGGUAAAGGCCUACCAAGCCGACGAUCUCUAGCUGGUCUGAGAGGAUGACCAGCCACACUGGAACUGAGACACGGUCCAGACUCCUACGGGAGGCAGCAGUGGGGAAUAUUGCACAAUGGGGGGAACCCUGAUGCAGCCAUGCCGCGUGAAUGAAGAAGGCCUUCGGGUUGUAAAGUUCUUUCGGUGAUGAGGAAGGUGUUUGUUUUAAUAGAACAAGCAAUUGACGUUAGUCACAGAAGAAGCACCGGCUAACUCCGUGCCAGCAGCCGCGGUAAUACGGAGGGUGCGAGCGUUAAUCGGAAUGACUGGGCGUAAAGGGCACGCAGGCGGUGACUUAAGUGAGAUGUGAAAGCCCCGGGCUUAACCUGGGAAUUGCAUUUCAUACUGGGUCGCUAGAGUAUUUUAGGGAGGGGUAGAAUUCCACGUGUAGCGGUGAAAUGCGUAGAGAUGUGGAGGAAUACCGAAGGCGAAGGCAGCCUCUUGGGGAUAUACUGACGCUCAUGUGCGAAAGCGUGGGGAGCA